UUCUUAUCGAGAGAAGCGGAGGGAACUGGCCCUGUGAAGCUUCAGCAACCAGCCAAGUAUUGGCCAGGUGCUAAAUCCAGCGAAUUGAAUUUUUUCAAUUCGGCAGAUAAGAA
Molecule: non-coding RNA, 113 nt
Filed under: Parageobacillus caldoxylosilyticus
Lineage: Bacteria; Bacillati; Bacillota; Bacilli; Caryophanales; Anoxybacillaceae
Also listed under: 1 other name
Description: Geobacillus caldoxylosilyticus SAM-I sequence
Rfam family: SAM riboswitch aptamer (S box leader)
About the family: The SAM riboswitch is found upstream of a number of genes which code for proteins involved in methionine or cysteine biosynthesis in Gram-positive bacteria. The SAM riboswitch acts at the level of transcription termination control.
Source: RNAcentral